UAAUAUUUUGUAUUUCUGCACCUUUGAUGCCUUUUAUAUCUGAUUUAUCUCUUGACAACAUAGGCAAUGCCAUCGAUUAAGACCCUCACCUUCAAUAUUAUGAGCUCGCUUAUUAUUGGGAUAGAGGAAAGUGCAAAAAGAGACAUACUCCUACAGCUCUUCGAACAACUGAUGGAGGGUGUUCUAUCAGUACCAUUCAAUUUUCCCUUCACACGAUUCAAUCGAAGCCUCCAAGCAAGUGGGAAAAUCAGACCGAUUUUAGAGGAUCUUAUCCGAGAAAAAAGAGCUGCACUGGAGCAUGGAACUGCCUUUCCUCAACAAGAUCUUAUCACGACCUUGCUUGUCUCCGAAACGAGGAGAAUUCAGCAGUAUUAACUGAUGAGGAAAUUAUAGAUAAUGCAAUCGUGAUAAUGAUAGCAGGCUAUGACACCUCCUCCGUCCUCCUCAGUUUGUUGAUCAGGCUUUUAGCCGAUGAUCCAUCUAUUUAUGCCAGCAUCCUUCAAGGUAUGUAACUAAAUUGAUUCAAUAAAAACCAAAUAAUAUUGCAAGAAAUCAUAGCAAACACUACGAUUUGAGAUUGCAGAACAAGCAGAGAUUUCCAAGAAUAAAGCCUCUGGGGAGCUCUUAACAUGGGAUGAUCUCACAAGAAUGAAACAUACAUGGAGUGUAGCAUCGGAGACCCUAAGGAUGACCCCUCCUGUAUUUUUUAUCUUCAGGAAGGUUCUCAAAGAUUUUGAAUAUGAAGGGUACCUGAUACCCAAAGGAUGGCAGGUGUGAUAUGAUUCUGAGCUUGCAUACCUUAUCAUUAAUAUAGUUUAACCAAAACACUUCAAAACAUAUAUAAUGCUGUACAAAGUUACCACUUUUUUGACUCAGGUAAUGUUGUCGACCAUCAUGACACAUAUGGAUGACAGCAUCUUCCCACAUGCAUCAAGAUUUGAUCCAGAACGUUUCCAGAAUAAAGCAUCAGUCCCGCCGUAUAGUUUUGUAUCAUUCGGGGGAGGAGCACGCAUAUGUCCUGGAUUUGAAUUUGCAAGACUUGAAACUCUGAUCACAAUACAUUACCUGGUGAACAGGUUCGUUUGGAAGCUCUGUCACCCUGGCAUUUCUUUUUCAAGAGAUCCAUUUCCACUCUUCAAGGAUGGACUGGAGAUAGAAAUUGAACCAAGGACCCCUCUGUGAUAGAUAACUAAAUGCAUGCUCUAAUGUGUGUCUUUAUGUGUGUAUAUAUAUAUAUAUAUAUAUAUAUAUAUAUGCACUCUGUCCUUCAAUUUGCAGAAUGUUCUGUUGAAUAAUUACUUAAAGUUGAAUCCAGAUAUGAGGGAACUUCCAUCUGUGUGUUUGUAGCAUUGCUAAUUGCCGAGCAAUUUCAGAUUUCCUUUUUUUUCAAGUUAAUGAUGUAGGGAAUCGAACAGUCGGAUGUGAAUAUGUUGUAACUGGAGCACGCGGAAAGCUUAGGGUGAACCUUAGGCAUGGUUAUAGGUUUUCUCAACAAGGGAGAGAGAUCGAAAUCCUCUCUUUCUCGAGAUCCCCUGAAUCGCCGCAUCCCCUCUCUCCCGCAACGGGGCUAAAGCUGACGGUCCUAGGUGGUGAAUCACUAAACCGGCGGACACAUCUAUGGAUCAAUGAGACCAUCUAAAUAGCUAAACUAUGCUAUUGAUUUUAGGGGGUGUGAAAAUGGAGAGAGACUUGUUAGGAUUUUUCACAGUUUUGGAUAGUUUCAAGGCAUAUGUGGAUCCUGCUCCCCGCAUCAUCAAGAACUUUCUUGCUUCUCAAGCUGGGACAAAUAAGUUUGAUGAAUGCAUAGACAUUUUUUAGUUUCUCAGACACAAAAACUCUAUGAACAGAACCCAUUAAUUAAAGUGAAAAAAAGAAGAAGAGGAUUUGAUAGAAAAAUCGUUCAAGUGGAUGUUACACUAUUAGGAAAUUGAAAAAAAAAAGCAACGGAAACACCAACGAAAAAUAUUUCAUCACUGUUUACUAUAAAAAUUACAACGCAAAAUUUCCGCUUGUAAUUUCCAGCAGAAAUGGUGACGGAAUAAAAAAAAAUCAUCAACAAUUUCGUCGGCAUUUCUAAAGUGUUAAAUUGCUGACAUAAUUCUCAUAAAAGAUUGUAAAAUGAAUUAAAAACCUGACAAUUCUCUCUUCUCCAUCCCCUCCUCUUUAUCUUUUUUCAUUUCAAUUCAAGCCCUAACCCUAUUAAUUUCUUCAAGUUUUCGACAAGCCCCCUCUAAAAUCUGGUCACCCAACCCGCCAAUGCAACCUCCCUCUCUUAAUUCUAUUUAAUAUCAAGCUUCGCUUCAUUAAGAAAAAAAGUCCAUUUAUUUUUGUUGUAACACCCAUUUAUAUUUAAAGUUAAUUUAUUGAAAUUUGUUUAUAGAAUUUAUAGUUUGCAUGUAUAUUUAAGUAUUUUGUUUGUUUUGUAAUUAUAAUUUUAUUAUAUUAAUAUAUAAUUUGUAUUUUAAAAUUUAUUUGGGAUUUUAAAAAAUAGAUUUAAGAUGUUAAUCGAUGAAAUUGAUUGUUUGGGAUUUCUAUAAAGCUAGUAUCCACAUCAAAUAUUGUUUUUUUGCAUGUUGCUUUUUAUGACCUUCGAAUCCCCACCCUGAAAAUCACACAAGCAAUCAUGUUUCGGUUGCUCUACAUCCUUGUUAGUACCACGAAUAAAUUAUUAGAAUUUGUUUUUGCUAAUAACGCACCCGAAUAUGCAAACAUGGUUAAUGCAUAUUCUCUUUAAUAUUGAUUUUGUUGAUGUAAAUAUAUUUCACUUAAUAAAUUUUUUUUUAAUAUUUAUCAAAUAUUUUAUUAAUGAAUGAAAGUAUAGAUAAAGUUCUUAGAACAAAAAUAUUUUGUAAAUAAAAUUAUCAAGUUAUUAUAAUUAUAAGAUUUUUAUUACAUCAAAAUAUUGUUUCUAAAUAUUCUUGGUAAAUAUUCUAUUAAAACUGGAAAUUAAUUAAAGCUAUUAAGACUUGUACAUAUUAUAUUCUUUCCUUUAUGAAAUAAAACAGUUGUUUUCAUAAGUUAAGAUAUGAUCGAGGGAUACCAAUAACUAAUAUGUAGGUUCUUGUUGGAUAACAUGUACACCAAACUAACUCGCAUGAGAAUUAUAUAUGGAAAGAUCACUUGUGUACAUGGAAGGAUUAUAUGACCGUUGUGUAAGUGAUCCUUAAACUUGAAAUUACUAAGUUAUUUUAUAUAGAGAGUAUUAUGUUUUGAUCUUAUUACAUGUUAUCCUUAUCAAAGGUAACAAAUGAGCAGGUAUUAGGUAUGGCAUGAACUAUAUGAAGAUAUUUAAGUAAUCAAAAGAGGAUUCAUCACUUUAGAUGAAUUGGAAAAAAUAUUCCACGUGUUCUCAAAUAAUAUUGAUUGUAAAUUUUUAUAUAAGGUGGAAUGAGAUUCGAAAAGAGUUUUAAAUCUUAUUCAAAUAAUAAAUGACUAUGAUAUUGAAAACAAACAUGAUUUGAUAUAAUAGAAAAAAAUCACCCAUGUUGUAGUUUCCCUCUUUUUUUUUCCUUCGGAAAGAUGAAUGAGAGAUAAGGGUCAAGUUUUUUUCUUUUUUUUCUCUUACGGUUUAGGGUUAUUAGACUUCACACAAUUUCAUAGGUUACAUUCCUUGAUAUAGUUUAACAUGGAAGCUCUAUGGCUGAGCUUUUUGUUUUUUUAGAAUGUGUUUGGCAUUUUAGUAUCUUUUGCUCUUAUAAUUUGAAUUUUUUUAUAAAAAAAAACUCCAAAUUUAUUAUAUAUUUUGAUUAAUCAACAGUGGUUGCAGAUCUGUUUUAAUUGGAUCAUGUGAAAAAGACAUUUAUAGAUUAGUAGACCAGAUCUAAACCUAAAAAGAGUUUUAGCCAUGUCAAACGACUUGUUUGAUAAAAAAGCUCUUAACUUAGAUUAAGAAACCUUAAAUUAGCCUCUCAAGUUUUUUUUUUUUUCAAUUUCAUCUUUCAACAUUAGAUUGAUUGAGAAUUAAGCUUCAUAAUUUGUUACCGUUUGUUUUCUAUUGAGUUAUUUCAAUCUCAUAACCCAGGUUGAGAUUUUGGCAAGUUAACCCGUGUUAACUCAAAUUGUUUUUUAGGUAUUUUUUUAAUUGAUUUUUUCAAUUUCUUCCUUCAACAUUAGGUUUAUUAGGAAUUAAGCUUCGUAAUUUGUUUUGAUUUAUUUUUUUAUAUUAUGUUUAUUAUGAUCUAAUGACUUAGUAUGCAAAUUAACAAGUUAACAUAGAUUGAUCCGAAUUGUUCAAAUAUGUUGUUGUCUCAAUGUUUAUUUAAAAAAAUCUCAUCUUAAAUAUUUAUUUUGAGUCAAAUUAUAUUUUUAAAGGUUAUUUUGGUUGCUUUUGAGCCCGUCAAGGUAAUCAAGUCACAUCAGAUCAAUUCCCAUAUGAUUUUAAAUUUUUUUCUGCUAAAAAAAAUAUUAGUAAUGCCAAGAUAUUUUUUUACUUUAAUUUUUUUAUCUCAUCCGCAGUAUAGCAAGAGCCAAUUAUCUAGUAAUUAAUUAAACAUCUAAAAGAACUAAUUCCCUUAGUUAGCAUCAUUAUUCAUAUGAAUUGUAAAAUUGCUCCUCAAUAAUUUAUUUAUUUUUAUUUUCAUCUUUUUUUAAAAAAAAAUUAUCCUUAGAUUUUGUUUUAUUUAAUUCUUUCUUGAUAUAAUUUCAUGAGAUAAAGUUUUAAAUUGUAGUAGAAAAUAAAAUUAAAAGAUAGAAUAUUACAUUAUAAAUCAUGGAGAAAAUACAUGGCCAAUCUUUUUAGAAAUUUUAUUUUGAUCUAAAAAUUUAUUUUAUUUAUUUUUGUAGUCUUUGAGUUUGAGAAAAGAGAAAGAAACUUGUUGAAAAGCGGUAAAAAAUAGAAAAAAAUAUCGAUUAACCACAUUUAGCCACACAAAAAAAAAAUCUUUGUCAAUAGAUUUAUCUUCUCAAGAAUAAUUUAAUGAAGAUAGUUUGUUUAAAAAUAUAACAAAAAAAAAUAGAUUGAGUUUUUAUUUAUUUAUUUUAAUUCAAUUAAUUUUUAUAUUUUAAAGUGAUUUUAGAAUAUGUGGGGGUUAUCAAGAGCUUUUUUAAGAUGUGCAUUAAAGUGAAAUGAGUUAAAAUUGAGUUUUUGGAAUAUGAAAACAUGUACCUUUUGUGAUAAUUAUUGGAGGCGGCUGGAAAAAUACCAAUCGCCUUCCCCUAUAGACAACUUGUUGCUCGCAUUGAAAAGAAGAAAAUACAAAAGCGGACAGAGACAUUAUGGUUCACAUAAUUACUAAAGCAUUGGGAUGAGAUUAUUACAUCUUACAUCGUUAGAUGCUUUAAUACUCUGUUCUCAAAGGGCUCACUUUGUUGUUUUGUUGAUUAUUGUAAAAUCUCUACGCAUUUUCAACGAUUCCUGUGUCCACCUGUAUAAUACAUAGACUCUGUAUUGUCGGGAUUUCUAAGGUUUCUCAAUGAGUAAUAAUCUAAAAAUAGUUGUCUUGCAACGUUAUGUACAUGAGAGCUACACCAGAAAGGAAAGAGGAUCCAUGCACCUGAGCUGGUCCUUGGAAGUUACUCGGUGAUAAGAGAUGUCUGCUAAUGCGAUUAUGCCACCUUUUUUAGUACAGAAUCUCCAAAAGCUCUAGACAUUGCUAAGCCUAGAGAAUCUUCAUGAGGUGUAGCCAGACUCGAUGGACGUGUAGCUCUUCCUCUAGUUCAAGUACUCUGCCAUUACAUUUUCUUAUUUUUUCUGCUUCGCCUGGAUUAUAAGAGGAUCCAAUUGAAAAAAUGAGUUGCAUAUGAUCAUGAAAAAUCUGUAGUUAAUUGAACAGGCACGAUUCCAUUCUGAUCAUUGAUUCUGCCCAACGCUAGCUAGCUGCUCUUAAGUCUCGAUCCAAGACUUGCUAUAAUAAGAUCGUCACCUGUUUUCAUGAGCCCAGCUCGUGGGUUUGAUGAUUUAAGGAUUAGGGUGGCUAGAGCCGCAGCUUCUGGUGGUUGUUGAGGUUGUGGAGUGAGGUUGGUUGUGGUGAUCGUAAAGGGGUAGGGUUUUAGCGGCUGUGAUUUUUUGAGAGUUGAAAGAAGUAAAGAAUAAGCAUGUACCAUAUAAUUCAAUCACUCAUACUGAUGACAUAACUUCCAUAAACACAAUCUUAAUUCGUACAAAUUGCGCAAACCAAUAAAAAAAAAAGAGAGUACAAGGUCCGUCCUGAAACACAACAGGACAAGAUCGAUGAGACUGGUAACCAAUAAGUGGCUAUUUUCUUCUAUAUAGAAAGUAGAGCAGAGAUAUCAUGGUGAAGACAACUCCUUCCAGCAAUAUAAACUGACCAGAUGAUCAGGAUCGAUCGUGUGCUUGUUUAGUGAAGCCAUCUACUCUUGUGAGGAAGACAAGGCCAAUAUGUCCGGAUCUUGUUGGAAGUGAAGCAUAUCAAUUUCCUUUAAGGUCAUCCAUGCCUCAAUUCCGUCUCCAAAUUUGUCGUCCUUCAGAAUACUAACAUCUAUAGGAAAAUUCAUUGCACUCAUCCAUGCAGGCUUUCCCCAGCCAAAGUUUGCUUCCUCCAUACCCAGCCUACACCAGCUUGAGAACUUGAAUGUAUCUACUUCACCCUUGUUCAAUUCUUCAAACAACUCUUUAUGGUACUUAGUUACCAUUGAAAACACAUCGUCGCUGUUUACUGCAUUUGCGCAAUCUGAAAUGGCUUUCCUCUUAGCAUCCCUCAGGAGACUCGCAAUGUCACUCAACUCUAACCUAUUGCUCUCACCAUUUGCAUUGAAUCUAGAAAUGAAAGGCAUAUACAUGUUCCCACAAGCAUUUUCAGGUAAAGGCAUAGUCACCUUUCCUCUCAGCGUCAUUAGCUGGCGCACUGAUGAUGCUCUCAGGUGUCCGUGCUGUGCUUUAACUGAACCAAUGAGAGCCUUCCAUAUAAGUGCUGUGACCACCUCUAAGCGCGAAUGAUGGUACUUGACUCCUGAAUCGGUGCCACCACUAAUUUUAGAUUUCAGCUUGUCUAUGGCUUCCUUGUUAAACACAAAUACUUUUGUGACAAUCUUAGGUUGAACUUUUGGUACUGCUGGUGGAAAAUUGAGACGUAAAUCUCUUUGUGGGAAGAGAAAUGGGCAAUCAAAUCUUGGACGACGAACCUGAUCACUUAUCCCACGUUCUCGGAAUGCUGUAGCCCAUGCAUUGAUGAAUGUGGAGAUUGUUGGUAUAUCAGCUAACCUGUGCGAAGUGAGCAAGCCGAUCGCUAAACCUCCACACUUAAACUUGUUGAUUUGGAUGGCUAAUAAACGACCAGUGUCUGAUGCAGUUACACAAGGAACAAAAUGAUCCAGCAGAUCAAGAUUGCUAUUGGGGUCUUGUUGGAUAAUUUGUGUGAGGUCUACCCCAUCUACUUUGGCUUCCAGGAACUCCACCCCUUCAUCAUUACAAUCAACUGAGAGAUUAUCUUCGAUGUAUCUUCCUGCUAGAGGGUAAAAGAGGGUUAAUAUUUCGGACAAAGAUUUCUCUAGAUCUUCGAUGUUAUUGACAUGGUGGUUGUUAGGAUAGUAGAAAAUAUUGGGUACAUUCAGUGAAGGAGCAAGCUGAUCGAGAAAUGAUAUGUUCAGAUUCUGAAGGUGAGGAGGAGUUUGAACCGAUGGUUUUAUUAGCUUUCUAGAUAUGAGCUGAACCUCCAUUGCCAGCUUGCUGUAUUUCGCCUCGAUCAUUGCCUUUCCCCCUUUUAAUAGCUACGUACUGAGAUGGUAGGUGGAAGUUGAGUAGGAACUUGAAAGUUUGAUGAAGUGAUCAACCUAAUCUCUUAGAUUAUUUGUUUAUUGUUUCCAUGUAUUUCCUUUGACUUAAUUUGGUAUAGAACUUAUGUAUGCUUGUGUAGGAAGAAAAUCUAACGGUUCAUAAAGGUAUAGAACUUGUGUAUGCUUGUGUAGGAAGAAAAUCUAACGGAUUCAUUUAUGAACCAGUGAAAUACAAUAUGUUAAGUCUAAGAUUUUGUGCUAACAGAUUCAUUUAUUUUCAGCUUUAUUGUUGUUUCAACACCACGAUAUCCUCAGAUUCAUUUAUUUUCAGCUUAAUUUUAGAUUUUAUUCCUAAUUCUUUUUCUUUUUUAUCUAGGAUUCUAAUUUUUCUACUUUGUAAAGUUCAGUUUUUUUCACCUAUUUAAGAAGUUAUAAAAUUUAUCAGAGAGGCAUAAUACAUGUCCGAGAUAAUUAUUCAGAAAUAAAAUACAAAUCCAUCUACCCCAUUUGAACUUCGCUUUUGCAAUUCCCAGUCAAUCAUAAAGAAAGUUCAAUGCGUCAAUUUUGAAAACCCAAAUUGGAAACGGAAACGAGAGAUGAAGACAAGUUCAACGCGUCAAUUUUGCAAGAACCCUGUUUCUGGUAUUUUCUUUAUUCUUCUGAACACAGCAAGAGUGACUGACUUUAUCCUGGAAGUGUAAUGAUGAUGUGGCGUCCUCUGGGGCGUGGUCUGGUGGUAAAAGACUUGAGAUCUACAUGGCAGGUCUCGAGUUCGAGUCAGAACAUAUAAUUCUUAUAAAAAUCUGGAACAGCUGAUGUUUUACUCACUCACCUAUACCACAAAGUAUGCUUUCCGAAAGAUGAGGUUUCUUCAAAUAAAAAAGUAAUAAUAAUGCGGCAUUUGCAGAAGGGUUUGGACACUGAUAUGGCUAUCUUUAUUUUCCUUGCAUGCCAACACAGUGUCUUCGUCUUCAUCUGUGGACACUUUAAUUGUUCUGUUCAUCAUAAAGGAAGAUGCUGGGAGGUUGGCUCCAGCCUCCACUUUUGACCUCUGUAUAUCAAACAAAUUAUAGGGGACAGUGACCGGAAAUGAGAGGGCCGAUAGGCCAUGGCAAAGAAUUGGCUACCUCCAUUCUCAAUUAUUGGCAAUACUUAAAUUAACAUUACUGUAACUUUGAUGUUAAUUGCUGCCCAGAGGCAAGCAUAUCUUUUGUUUCACCUCAGCAAGUUCUUUUUUUAGUUACAGUAAUGUUAAUUAAGUAUUGCCAAUAGAUAGGUAGGCUUGCGAUUCUCGAGUUUUUUUAGGGAUUAUUUCAACUUACAUCAUUGGAUGAUUUAAUACUCUUAUAAUGACACUAAAUUUUCCAUGUAAUUUUCAUAUUUCUUAUAAUCCUGUAUACAUAGAAAUGUGGUUUUUUUUUUUAAUUAAAAGCAAGUAAAUGUAUCUGAUAAAAAAUAUACAAAAUUGGAGAAUCAACAAGUUUAGGGUUAUUUUUUUUUAAUGUGGCUAGAGGUUGUUUUUUUUUUUUUCAUGUAAUUUUCACAUUUCUUUAUGUGAGUUGAUGUUAUUUCUUUUUAUUUUCUUUUCUUCUCCUUACUUUUCUCACUGUGGUGACUUUCCUCUCUCACUACAAAGAGAUUUUGGUUUUGGACUUGGAGAAUUUGGGUUCAAGAAGGGUUAAAGAAAACAAAUAGGCAUUACCUCUCCUUACUGUUUACAAUUAGAGAAUUGAAUGUGGAAGAGCCAAAGAAGAGUUGGGCUUUUAUUUUGAAUUUUUGUUUUCAUAAUUUAAGGGAUUCAAUCUAUGUAUUAGGAUGUUAGUUGGACUGAAACAAACUCGAUUAAUGUCUAAAUUAUAGGCUUGUAGAAGAACAGAAGGUUUAUUUUUUUAGGCUCUGUGAAUUGGAGACUAGCAGGUUAGGAUUUUGGGAAAUCCUAGCCAACCGAUCAAUCGGUUGGUCUAAACUAGCUGACUGAUUGGUUUGUGUAAUGGUCGACCGGCUAACCCUACAAUAGUAGUUAAUCGGUCUAUUAUGUUCGAAAUCAAUUAAGUGAAUCGGUUCAGCUUUAUUAUUAUGAUUUCGUUUCUAAGUUUAGGGCUUUCAUAUUUUAUAUUAUGUUACUUUGAGUCAUUUUUUAGUUUUUUUUUUAUAUUUGUUAUAGGUUUUAUUGACGUUCCUCCUACCAAGCCUUAGAAAUCUUCGAUUUUGCAUUCGUUUAUUUUUUUUAUUUUAUUUUUCGAGUGAGUGGGAUAAUUUCUAUUAUGUAUUAUACAUACAUAUAUAGGAGGCCAAUCCAUACACUACUGACACCCUACUCACGAACUAGAAAAUAAAUAUCAUGUACAUACAAGCUAAUAACUCUAUGUUAGCAUGAUUUACCUUUAAAUUUAAAAAAUAAAUUGAUGAAUUAACAUUAACUAAAAACAUUUUGUGAAAUAAUAUAUUUUUGGUUUGUCACAAUUAUAAUCAUGAUAUAUAUUAAAUAUCAUAUUUUUAAAUUGCAAUAAAUAAUUGAUAUUAUAAUUAAAAAGUAAAAUUUUAAUUAAUUUGAUGAUUUUCAACUACAACAUCAAUUAAUUGUUGUUUCAAUAUCAAUUUUCAUCUAUUUUAGUUGAAGUUUAUACUCAAAGAAAUUUAUCAAAGCUUGCUGUACAAGCUGUUUUAAUGCAGACACGACAUUCUAGAAAAUUUACAGUGGUUUCUUUAGACGCAAUUAAGGAAUCAGUUUGUCUGGGUAAUAUGAUAUUUACUAAAUAUUAUUUUAAAAAAAUACAAACAAUAUUAUUAUGUAAUUUUUUUUUUAUUAUUGUGCUAAUUAAAAAAAAUCGUAAAAAAAUAGUACAGUGAAAGCUACCGAACCUCGAACAAGGGAGCUUGAUCAUGGGAACCGUGAAUCCCAUACCCAACUGUUGUUUCCUGGUUUCUAUGCUCGAUCAUGUGUGUGUCUUUCCAUUUUGUUUAUUUUUCUUUUUCAAUUUUUUCUUUAUUUUUAAUUUAGCCCUUGAUUGUCAUAUUCAGUCAAUUUUGGAUUGAUUUUUCAAGACUUCUUUCAAGUAAGCCCUGGAUAACAUUCAUAAUCAUCCUUCAAUAUUGAGACCUUUUACACUUCAGCUCUUGGAUGUUUAUUUUGUACAAUUUUUUUCUUCAAUUAGGCUCCUAAUGGAAUUAAUAUGGUCGUCAUAUCCUAGCAUCUAUUUCAUUUUGAUCCUUGAUCUUUUGAUUAUUCUAAUUAUGAUCAAAUAUUUUGACUCUAAAUUUCAAUCUUCCUUUUCAAUUGAGCCCUUAAUCAAACCAUUUAAAUCCUCAAAUUUCAAUGGCCCUUCCAUUUUGUUCUUUGGUCCUUUAAUUUUGGUCAAAAGGACUCCAAAUUUUAAGUUUUUCUUCAAUUAAGCCCCUAAUUGAGUUAAUUGAAAUUCCAAACUUUUCCAUCUCUUUUAUUGUGGUCAUUGACUUGUAAAUUUAGCCAAUUUUUCCCUUAAUUCAAAAUCUUCUCCUCAAUUACGCUCUCAACUAAAAUAAUAUGACUUCAAAAUUUAAUUUGCCAUCCUUUUUAUUUUGGUUAUUGGUCUUUUAUUUCUUUUAGCUAUGAUCAAUUUAAACACUUUCUUCAAUUAAACCCCAAAUUACAUACCCACAUAACUUGUUGACCAACUACAAAAUAAAUUCUUGUCUAAUUACAGCCCGAAGUUAUAUUUUAUUUUUAAAAUUCCACAUCAUUGCACAACCUUUUUUUUUCUUUUCAAAAUUCUAUAUAUUUCGUUUGACAUUCUGUUGGUAUAUACCAACAGAAUAAUUCUAUCAGAAUAUAUCAACGGUUUUACCGAUUGAUUUACAUUCGUCAGUAAAUAUCACCAUAAACUAUCAACAUAAAAAUUUCAUCGAUAAUUCCAUUGAUUUUGGUCAAAUUUCUAAUAAUGUUUCAAGAUGUUUAAUAUUACUGAGAAGCAUAAUCAUACUGUAGAUUUAUUGGCUAAUUAAGCAAGCAUGGAGAAGAAUUGUUUUGUGCAAUUUGCUUCCUUGUCCACCAUAAGUUUAUUGAAAGUUUCUAAAUACUUAGAGUUUUUUUGUUUAGAUAAUCUCAUUGUUGAUAUUUUAAAUUGUUUGAUGUAUAUUUAUAGUCAGAUUUUAAUAAUAAAUAUUUUAAAAAUACAUUAAAAUAUUUUUUUUAACUUUUUUUUGUUUUUAACAUCACCAUAAUAAAAUCAUGGAAUAGCUUGUUUAGAAUCAAAUCAUUAGUGGAAUUUAAUUCAAUUUCAUACAUGAAUUGAAAUUAAAAAAUAAUAUAUUAUAAUUCUUAAAUCCCGUAAUUGAAUUUAAUUUAAACACAUAUGGGAUGAUGAAUUGAAUUGGCUAUUUUGCUUUUAAUUUAGAAAUAAAUUUGAUACAAAAUCAACAACAUAGAUAAAACGUGGAUAUGCAUAUCAUUGGAUUCACCGAAUCAAGUCAUUUUUUUUUUUAGUUUUUCCUGAAUUUGAAGUCCACUACGACUCUGAUAUUUUCAAGAACUGAAGACAUUAACGAGAAAUGAAGACAAGUUCAAUGCAUCAAUUUUGCAAGAACCCUACUUUGCAGUAUUUAUGAUAUUUUCAUUAUUAUUCUGAAGACAGCAAGAGUGACUGAUUUUGCCUGAUGGGAUCGUAACAUGGAAUGAGGGGACCAGUGGGCCAGAUAGGACAAAGAAUUGACUAAAAAAAGAUAAAAUACUUAAUUAACAUGACUGUAACUUUGAUGUUGAUGCCCAACCAAUCCUAAGGCAAGCAAUUUUGACUUAUUGAUAUAGAUAAAACAGCACGGGAAAAUCACAGUCACACACAAGAAAGAUAAAAUUAGUUGAAUUAUGCAUUUAUUAUUGAAUAUUUUUUUUAAUGUGAUUUACUUUUUAAAGGUUUGCAGCUGUUUAAAUAGAUAAAAAUUCAAUCUUUAUAAAUAACGAAAAUGAAAAUUUUAAGCCAAAUAAAAAAGUCAAUAUAUAAUUCAAAAUCAAGUUACCAAUAAAAAAUAAAAAGAAAUAUAAUAAAAUUGGUUAAAACAUCAUCUUUCAAACUUAAUUUAAGAGGCUUUGACGUGAACAAAAAUAACACAAGAAAUAGUUCAAGCACAAGCAACAUAAAAUUUCAUUGAAUAGAAUCACCAUCCAAAAACUCUAAUUUUUUUUACUAAAUAUUUAUUUUUACAUAAUUUAUUGAAAUACAAACUAAACAACUUAUUAGGGAAUACUAAUAUAUCACUGAAUUCUCAAUGAUAUUUAUUCUAAUAAAGAAGCUUGUUUACUCAUGUUUUUAAAAUGAAUUCUAAAAUUUAGUUAUGAAUUCAUGAUCAUUUUCUUUGCAAUUCUCUAGUCUUCUUCUUUUUAUUAAUAAAUAAUUGAAUAAGUCUUCACUUGUCUUUGUAAUUUUUUUUUAUUAACGUGGAUGUUCGGACUAGCUUGCACGUACCUCGACUAAUCUCACGGGUCUUAAAAUUAACUAUCAUAUAAAUAAUCACAGAGCUCAAAUCUAAAACCAAAAAAAAAAAAAGAAAGAGAGAGAUGACUAUCUCCUUUUCUCACCAUGGUCCAUCAAUGACUUUAGAAUACAUUAAAGUCUUUGGGAUACAACCUAUUUCCUUCAUUCUUUGUUUUCAGUGUUAUCCAAUGAAUUGGUCGCUAGUAUUAAAUGUCCGGCUUGUUUAUUUUUUUUGUUUUAAAUUUUUUUAAAAAAAUAUUUAAAUUUUUUAUUUAUUUAUUUCAAAUUAAUAUAUUUUUAGUAUUUUAAAAUUAUUUUGAUAUACUAAUGGAGCAUCCUCGGGGCCCCUACUCUGUUCGUUCAUGGACAGGCAGCAAGCAAGUUCGUCUUCAGUGGCGACAGCAACACUCUGGGCAGUCAGCAGCCAUCGUCGAUAAGUAGGGUUUGCGGUUGGGAGGAAUAUCCUGGAACUAAGUGGCCAUGACCAUAAACGCGUAAGGGGCGCUCUCUUGUCUUUCUUAAAGCCUGAAGUUCUGAAGCAAUAUGUUAGUAAGAUGGAUGAAGAGAUUAGAAAGCAUUUCGAGAUGCAUUGGCGCGGCAAGAAAAAAUGUUUUGGUCAGUGAAUUUUAUCUAAAAAAAGCUAACCUCCACUGAUUAUAUAUAUCACAAGUAAUAUUUUGUGUUUUUGCAGCUUUGAUGCCUUUUAUAUCUGAUUUAUCUCUUGACAACAUAGGCAAUGCCAUCGAUUAAGACCCUCACCUUCAAUAUUAUGAGCUCGCUGAUUAUUGGGAUAGAGGAAAGUGCAAAAAGAGACAUACUCCUACAGCUCUUCGAACAACUAAUGGAGGGUGUUCUAUCAGUACCAUUCAAUUUUCCCUUCACACGAUUCAAUCGAAGCCUCCAAGCAAGUGGGAAAAUCAGACCGAUUUUAGAGGAUCUUAUCCGAGAAAAAAGAGCUGCAUUGGAGCAUGGAACUGCCUUUCCUCAACAAGAUCUUAUCACGACCUUGCUUAGUCUCCGAAACGAGGAGAAUUCAGCAGUAUUAACUGAUGAGGAAAUUAUAGAUAAUGCAAUCGUGAUAAUGAUAGCAGGCUAUGACACCUCCUCCGUCCUCCUCAGUUUGUUGAUCAGGCUUUUAGCCGAUGAUCCAUCU
This 14271-nucleotide long non-coding RNA is filed under the name Populus tremula. Its description in RNAcentral is "long non-coding RNA (PTRE_LNC002098)". The record is from RNAcentral. Lineage: Eukaryota; Viridiplantae; Streptophyta; Magnoliopsida; Malpighiales; Salicaceae.